This 800-nucleotide ribosomal RNA is filed under the name Gracilibacillus sp. JSM 102042. RNAcentral describes it as "bacterial SSU rRNA". It matches the Rfam family "Bacterial small subunit ribosomal RNA", at positions 38 to 806 of the family's 1533-position model. Lineage: Bacteria; Bacillati; Bacillota; Bacilli; Caryophanales; Bacillaceae. The record is from RNAcentral.
GGGGGGGGGGCUAUAAUGCAAGUCGAGCGCGGGAAGCGAACGGAAUCCUUCGGGAGGAAGUUCGUGGAACGAGCGGCGGACGGGUGAGUAACACGUGGGCAACCUGCCUGUAAGACUGGGAUAACCCCGGGAAACCGGGGCUAAUACCGGAUAAUACAUGGUUUCGCAUGAAACCAUGUUGAAAGAUGGCUUUUACGCUAUCACUUACAGAUGGGCCCGCGGCGCAUUAGCUAGUUGGUAAGGUAACGGCUUACCAAGGCAACGAUGCGUAGCCGACCUGAGAGGGUGAUCGGCCACACUGGGACUGAGACACGGCCCAGACUCCUACGGGAGGCAGCAGUAGGGAAUCUUCCGCAAUGGACGAAAGUCUGACGGAGCAACGCCGCGUGAACGAAGAAGGUUUUCGGAUCGUAAAGUUCUGUUGUUAGGGAAGAACAAGUGCCGUUCGAAUAGGGCGGCACCUUGACGGUACCUAUCGAGGAAGCCCCGGCUAACUACGUGCCAGCAGCCGCGGUAAUACGUAGGGGGCAAGCGUUGUCCGGAAUUAUUGGGCGUAAAGCGCGCGUAGGCGGUUUCUUAAGUCUGAUGUGAAAUCUUGCGGCUCAACCGCAAGCGGUCAUUGGAAACUGGGGAACUUGAGUGCAGAAGAGGAGAGUGGAAUUCCACGUGUAGCGGUGAAAUGCGUAGAUAUGUGGAGGAACACCAGUGGCGAAGGCGACUCUCUGGUCUGUAACUGACGCUGAGGUGCGAAAGCGUGGGGAGCGAACAGGAUUAGAUACCCUGGUAGUCCACGCCGUAAA